Anarrhichthys ocellatus (wolf-eel) is the source of this 1378-nucleotide long non-coding RNA. RefSeq lists it as uncharacterized. The transcript is spliced from 3 exons. The record is from RefSeq and is a predicted model, not a curated record. NCBI's taxonomy places the organism in Eukaryota, Metazoa, Chordata, Actinopteri, Perciformes, Anarhichadidae.
CUGGCAGAGAGGAAACAGCCUCGCAGGCGGAGCUAAAUAAAGUCACAGCAGAUAACUAGUCCGCAACCAAACACCAAGAAUAAGACGAGGAGAGCAAGAAACCUGAAGGACCAAAGAGGAGAAAGUUUCAUCUCACUUCUCCUUCCCUCCACAUGCAGAGUAUCAUCAGCUCCUGAGGAAUUACUCCCACUCACGUUAAUCUCAACUGCUUAUCUCCGUCUGCUCGUGACGUACCGGACGUUUCAACGACAAACAGGUAACUCCUUCAGAGGACACAUGUCAUGUUCGUCACUGUCUCCUCCUCAUCAACUGGUCCGCUUACUUCUGUAAAUCAGUGUGAGCCGAGCUGAGCGAGUGACAACAGCAGCGACGGAGACGACCACAGGAUGGACGCCAGAGAAGAGACGCUGUACAUCCUGAGGAAUAUAUGGGUGAAGCUGCAGGGUCUCCCCAAUGCCAGCACCAUAGAGCUGGGAGCCUUCCUUGUCAUCCUAACCUUCAUCUUGGUGGUCCUGUUAAUGACAGCGCUGACCUGUGUCAACUACUGCUGCUGCUGCUGCCGCUGCUGUCGCAAGACAAAGAUGAAGGGAUCGAACAUUUGAGAGAACGUUCGCCACACGAGGGGGAAACAGGACGUGGGGAAAAAGGUCCUCAAAAAAACAACAAAAGGCUUUUCUCUGCAGAUUACUCAGACAUUCGAGACUUUUCAGUGAGCUUUGAGCGGCACUAGAGGAGCCCAACCCUUGAACAACAGAACAGCUGACAAACACAAUGAAGGAUGCCAAACACACCCGCUGAAGCUGCCAGGGUUUCAGGAGGAUCUACAUUCUUUGGAGCAUCUCCGCGCUUUACAGAGCAACCACAACCCCUCUGACCCGAGGAAACCCAAAAGUGUCUUCAAUAAUGCCGCUAAUACACGGAAUAUGAGCUACAAAUAUGUGUAGGAUGAUUAAAAAAAACUGCAGUGAGUUGCACAGUGAAACAUAAAUGGGGAAGACAAAUUGGUUUGUUAACGUGUCAUACUUAAGGAACGAGAGCUGUCAGAAUCACACCCAACCUGUUUGGUUCGGUUUAAACAAUUUGAAGUCUUGUUUGCCGGUUAGUACAGUUUAUUUGGGCUGAUGUUAAAGCUGUCAAUCAAACCCUGGUCUGCUUCAAAGGGCACUCUGGCGCAGUUCCUUUGUGGUGUGAAAGCAGACGAACUAGAUACGUGGUUCUAGCAUGAUUUCAAAAGCUAAAUGACCAAUAAAUCCUUCUGCCGAGGGUGAAAUCUGUUCAGGAAGUCAUCUUUUUAUUGGGCCACGUAUAUAUAACCUGUUUAUGCAAAUCAUUUGGUAAUAACAGUAUCACGUAUGCACGUCAGCGCAGGUAUUUUCCC